RNAcentral lists this ribosomal RNA (254 nucleotides) under uncultured bacterium. Its description in RNAcentral is "partial 16S ribosomal RNA". It matches the Rfam family "Bacterial small subunit ribosomal RNA", at positions 524 to 776 of the family's 1533-position model. The record is from RNAcentral.
UACGAAGGGUGCAAGCGUUAAUCGGAAUUACUGGGCGUAAAGGGUGCGUAGACGGCCUAUUAAGUCGACUGUGAAAGUCCUGGGCUCAACCUGGGGACUGCAGUUGAUACUGAUGGGCUUUGAGUUUGGGAGAGGGUGGUGGAAUUCCCGGUGUAGCGGUGAAAUGCGUAGAGAUCGGGAGGAACAUCCGUGGCGAAGGCGGCCACCUGGCCUGAAACUGACGUUGAGGCACGAAAGCGUGGGGAGCAAACAGG